Molecule: ribosomal RNA, 397 nt
Filed under: uncultured bacterium
Lineage: Bacteria
Description: partial 16S ribosomal RNA
Rfam family: Bacterial small subunit ribosomal RNA
Source: RNAcentral
CCUACGGGAGGCAGCAGUGAGGAAUAUUGGUCAAUGGUCGGAAGACUGAACCAGCCAAGCCGCGUGAGGGAGGAAGGUACAGAGGAUCGUAAACUUCUUUUGUCAGGGAACAAACCCUGGGACGCGUCCCCUGCUGAGUGUACCUGACGAAAAAGCAUCGGCUAACUCCGUGCCAGCAGCCGCGGUAAUACGGAGGAUGCGAGCGUUAUCCGGAUUUAUUGGGGUUAAAGGGUGCGUAGGCGGUCUGUUAAGUCAGCGGUCAAAGCCCGGGGCUCAACCCGGGCCCGCCGUUGAAACUGGCAGGCUUGAGUGGGGGAGAGGUAGGCGGAAUGCGCGGUGUAGCGGUGAAAUGCAUAGAUAUCGCGAAGAACUCCGAUUGCGAAGGCAGCAUGCCGGA